GAUGAACGCUGGCGGCGUGCCUAAUACAUGCAAGUCGAGCGAACGGACGCGAAGCUUGCUUCUCUGAUGUUAGCGGCGGACGGGUGAGUAACACGUGGAUAACCUACCUAUAAGACUGGGAUAACUUCGGGAAACCGGAGCUAAUACCGGAUAAUAUUUUGAACCGCAUGGUUCAAAAGUGAAAGACGGUCUUGCUGUCACUUAUAGAUGGAUCCGCGCUGCAUUAGCUAGUUGGUAAGGUAACGGCUUACCAAGGCAACGAUGCAUAGCCGACCUGAGAGGGUGAUCGGCCACACUGGAACUGAGACACGGUCCAGACUCCUACGGGAGGCAGCAGUAGGGAAUCUUCCGCAAUGGGCGGAAGCCUGACGGAGCAACGCCGCGUGAGUGAUGAAGGUCUUCGGAUCGUAAAACUCUGUUAUUAGGGAAGAACAUAUGUGUAAGUAACUGUGCACAUCUUGACGGUACCUAAUCAGAAAGCCACGGCUAACUACGUG
This 497-nucleotide ribosomal RNA is filed under the name uncultured bacterium. RNAcentral describes it as "partial 16S ribosomal RNA". It matches the Rfam family "Bacterial small subunit ribosomal RNA", at positions 28 to 507 of the family's 1533-position model. The record is from RNAcentral.